GACAAAUUGCGUCCAAUACUGUCAUAUUAUGUUAAUGCGGUAAUGGCUUCUUUAGUUAUUCUUUUGUGAUGAAGUUUUUAUUUAUUGGCAAAGUUUUGAGGCAUUUUGUGUGAAUAUAAUUAUGCUGGUGAGGAUGAACCGACACUGGUAUUGAAGCGAGUCUGAAUGAACCGUGUGUGGUAACUAAACACAAAUCUUGUCACGAUCUUAGGGAUUUAUGUCUAUUGUACUUUUAUAUUUUUUAAUAUAUCUGUAAAGAGACUACUACUACUACUACUUACAAAGUAAUACUAAUUCGUGAAGAUGUCUAAAUGACGCUUGAGAAAGAUUGGAAUGUGUUGGUGAAGUGUAACCUAAAAAGAGUGAUUAAUAUUUAAUAUUAUGAGAUUCAAAAUUUAGAGAAGAUAAUAUAAUAUAGACUUUAAAUGUUGUUUUUUUCAUUAAAGAGAAAAAUGCAA
Long non-coding RNA from Leptidea sinapis, 458 nucleotides. RefSeq lists it as uncharacterized. The transcript has 2 exons. Lineage: Eukaryota; Metazoa; Arthropoda; Insecta; Lepidoptera; Pieridae. The record is from RefSeq and is a predicted model, not a curated record.